GUAUGUGCCUACAAAGGAAACACCUGAAUCAACAUAUUUUGACUGUAAAGGCCUGCUGCAAAUUAAGCAAGAUAUAUAAGCCUACAUUUUCGGAUUUUCUAGAAGCCAUUAGAUCCUACUUCAUCAAGCCCUCCGACACAACAACAAUCAACAUCGACGUCUUUAACAUGUUUUAAUGCGAACUGGUGGGGUAGUUUUGACAGAGAGGGCAGGUCAAAAUGCGGUGCUGAAGACCUUUAUAUCACGGGAUUUUAUCGAAAUGUACCUAGAAAUAAGAGCGAUCCCAUUCUUUUACUCGAAGAAGCAAGAUGUUGCGACUCUGCUUCUGCGUACAGCGGUCAAAACAGCGAUUGUAAAGAAGCUGAUUGGGGUACUUCUUUUGACCACAAUGACCAAUGGAAUUCAUGUCCUGUGGGGUACUUUUUGAACGGGUUAAAUCGCACCAAUCACAACAGAUUAUCGGACAUCAAUAAUGGUUAUUGCUGCAAACCAAGCAAUCAUCCUGACAAGUAUGGAUCGUGUUAUGAUGAAGAUGUUGGAACAUCGUUUGAUCAAAAAGGAUGGUCAAGCUGUUCCGAGGCUGGUUAUUACAUCACUGGUCUUUAUCGUGGAUCUGGUCACUGGCUGAACAACAUCGAUAAAUUUCGAUGCUGUCAAAAUGCUUAAUAAUAUCGAUGUAUAACAUCGAUACAACAAUAGGACAUACUACAACGAUUUAGAUUCAAAAAUUUUGCUAAAAAUCAGGUGGACUUAUCGGAAACUCAGAAAUGUUUUCGUUCUCGUGACGGUCAAGCGUGCACGCCAGUCUACUCAGUCUAUUAUUACAACAAGGUUGCAAGUUUUUUCACUAAGAUUUUUUACUAAGAUAUUCAACAUUUGCUACCACCUGAAUAUCUUGCAAAUGAAAUAAUGCAUAGGUUUGAACGCCGGUAAUUUGACUACAUUCUCGCAAAGUUUUAGCUGGAAACGUCAAUUUUAAAUAUGCUAAAAAAGCAAAUGUUUUUCGAUAUUUGAAAAAAAUUUUCCCGAACGCGUUCCCAAGGCGUUCCAGUGCUUUCACUUAGACGCUUCGUGUACCUUCGGAAAUUCCGAAUAAAUUAUCGAACAGCUAGUCAAUAUGCUUAAGCUACGGCUCGUUAAUUCUCGGCUUUUAGCAGGCGGGACAAGCGCUUUUUUUAUUUCGCGUAAAGAUAAGCAUAUAGUUAAAGUAAAUCGGGAAUAUCCGGGUAUUGACGACAAGUUCCGGAGUCGAUAGCCGAUGAAUAUCGAAUGGGUGCUGGAACGCGUUCCGGACGCGUUCGAGGAUGCGUUCAGAACGCGUUCUGGAACGCGAUUUUUAUUAGGUUAUUUCUGAGCAGUGCUGUAUGCUGGUGACACCCGAUGUACCUUG
Molecule: long non-coding RNA, 1390 nt
Organism: Dendronephthya gigantea
Lineage: Eukaryota; Metazoa; Cnidaria; Anthozoa; Malacalcyonacea; Nephtheidae
Exons: 3
Source: RefSeq, a predicted model, not a curated record